CUUGCUAUGUUUGGCUUCAACUGUACGAUAUCCAGCACUUCAACUGCUUCCCUUGCAAAUGGCUUCUAACGCUGACCAAAGCGACUGUGCUGGCGCCCCUUCGUUGAAGUUGUCGACUUUGAAACGCUUGAGGGAAGUUAUUAGGCAACGAAGCGGCAAGAACGACGCACGCGAGCGUGGCUGCUCGAAUACCGAGGUGUCAACAUAUCUUCCGAUAAUACAGAAACUGCGAUGUCACCAAGUGCAAGACAUCCCUCCAGAUCUCAAGUGGCGUCCCGCCUCGGUGUUCUAGUGGCUAAGAUACUCGGCUGCUGAUCCGCAGGUCGCGAGAUCGAAUCUCGGCUGCGGCGGCUGCAUUUCCGGUGGAGGGAGAAAUGUUGAUGAGUUCUUGAUUCCUGACGACUCCGAGAUGUGCGCAUAUUCAAAGUCGCUGCCAGCUGAGUGCAACCUGAGCACGGACGCGUUGCAAGAUGCAGGGCGAGGUGAACACUUUUGCACCGAGGAGCAGCAAGAACCCAAUGCGCCUGUCAAGAACGAAGGAGUAGCCUUGGAAGCGUCCAUCGAGGACUUCAUGCAGGUGGAGCUGAAGGAAGGGCCCGCCAUGGAGUUGCCUGUCCAGAGACUCGAACUACCCAGCCACGAAGAAAACCCUCUCCUGCUUUGCAGUUUGUGCCCUUUUGCGACGCGUUACCCGAGUACGCUGAAGGAUCACGAGGAAUCCCACACGUGGAAGAAAGUGAAGUGCGACCUUUGCCCGAAGACAUUUGCAACGCAGCGUAUGCUGCAGAAGCACAUGUGUAGUAGCCACACUGGCAAGAAACCCUUCAAGUGCGACCAGUGCCCGUACACGACGCUCAUGGAGUACUAUCUGGAGAGACACAAGAUCGAACAUCUCGAUGUGAAUGUCUUUUUGUGGAGUGAAGAAAGUGCAUUCGACUAUCGUAAGAGGCAGUGGGCAUGCAAGCAUUGGACACGAGAGAAAGUUAGGACAACACAAGUGCUAACAGAAAAAGCGUGAACUAGCAAAGAGAAAAAAAAAGCACGUACAAAUUCUUGUCUGUGCACGCCCAGGCAAGAGCGACAACUGUUCAUUGCUUUGGCAAGCGCAGAUGUGCAUUUCUGUCUACCUUCUUUUUCACUGCGGUGCACCGUAUCAGUUAAUAGUGUUUAUCAGCAUUUGUAUUGCUCAGAUUUCUGUGUUUCAUCAAAUGUUUGCCCACUGGUUGUAUCUUGUAUUUUACUAUGAAUACAUCGUCUUGGCUUACUGUCAUGUUAUGUUCGACUAUAGUGGUGGGGACUGGAUUGAGAAAACUAGUUGCCCUGUGCAGUUCAGAAGGAAUAACUGUUUUAAAGCAUCACAACAAUUAACAAUCAUGCAAAACUCUGACUUCUUGUAUUAACAUGCAUUUUCUUCAGUUUAAUAAAAUGAGUUGCCCUAGUGUUUCGCUUCUUCCAGUCAGGCGUGUAAGUGCUGUACCAAUUACGCCACGCCGCGCUAAACCGCUUCUGCCACGCCAUUCUGCUCCAAAACUUAUCAUUUCGCCGAUGCUUUUCCCACGCUGUGUUUGAUGCCUUCAUGUGCCGUCAUUCGGGAUCAAGCCAGCUCCCAUUAUUGUCACCGACGUGCACACAAAAACGGUGGCGUAGGCUCGAGACACUCGCAGUUACGCCGCAAAGACGAAGCAGUCAAUGCUAUAGCAGCGAACCGGAAUGUUAUACGAAGUGAGGCUAUCAGUGAACUCUUUUUGACCCGAUCUCGCUUAACUCUGAAAAACGCUGUGUGUGUGUGUUAUUACUGGCGACUCCAUGGAGCGAAUCAAUUCUCGCGCUUUCUAAUUUCAAAGCGCAGUAAGCGGGCCCUUUGCUUAUGUCUACCGAAAUAGCAUGCACCUUAGCGACAGCGGCCGGUCCCUUAUGAGCGGAGUUCCAAGUUGCGACUCGAACGACACAGUCUCCGCCCACGCUUCUUCGCCCGACGAUAGACAGGCGAGUCUUCUGCUCCCUGCCUGAGGGGCCAUCAACAGCAUGCCUUGCACAUGGGUGACAUUACCGUAUGCGCCUUUAAUGCAAUGGAAAUGGCCGGCUCAUUUUAUCUCUGCCUCGGCCGCAAUCUUCACGAGCACAAGCUUGAUAAUUUGGAUGCUUUCAGGAACUGCCACAAGCCUUAUAGAACUAACGUGUGACAUCUAAAGUUGUGGUCGUUGAAACACUGACAAGUUUAAACAUUUUAUUCAAGUUAUGUGUUCGAAAAUGCAGUAAUUAAAGCCACCACCACCCUCGCGCCCUAGCGCGUUUUUAAAGUCAGUUUUCCCGCAAUUCUGUAGUUUAGUGCAGCAAAGCAUGUUGCAAAUCGAAAGGGACAUUGAGGUUGUGGGCAGGUGUUCAGUAGCUUGAAAUUCUGGUUUUUUUUUUUCAUUAUCUUUCAGUGCAAGCACCCAACAGCCAGUAUUUAUUGUUGUUACCGAUAAUGCAGCAUUGCUCUAAGUGGGUAAUUUUACUUGUGAAAAACAUACAAAAGUUGAUGGUGCAGCAUCUUCUCAUUAGUAUAACUUAUAUAUUGAUAAAACUGGUAUUGCUAUAUGUGCUUGCUUUAUCAGCAUUCAAUGUUUUUAAAUAUUUACUAAAAAAUUGUUCACCUAUCUGCGUGCUUUGCUGUAAAUGUCGUCGAAAGGCCUUCUUUUCUGCAUAGCAUUGCAUUUUCAGCGCAGCCUGAAGAAUACCAGGGUCUUUAGAAUGACGUGUUUAUGUAUUUUUCAGUAAAGGAGCGCACCACCUAGUACUAAAGUAUUGAUUUUGUGUCUCAGAUAUGCAUAAUGUUUGCUUUUACAGUGAAAUUUAAACUGUUAUGAGAUCACAACUCUGGUCUUGCGCUGCCCUGUAGUUGUCUGCCGUCGCCAAUGUCCGUAACCACAUCGCAUGAAAUCAGAAAAAAAAAAAAAAAACUUGCAGUACCAAUGACACAGCGAGGCUCGAAUCCGGGUCCUCUCAGUGGCAGGCCAGUAUUCUACCACUGAGCCCCGCCGUUGCUUGGGACUUGCUGGCAAACUUGCCUUAGUCAGGCUUGAUGGGGGAAAAGCAAUUGUGUUACUACGACUUAUAAAGUGUUUUAAGACGGGGAAAAAACAAGCAGUCGUCACACAAUGCGAAUAGCGUAACGACUGGGUCGUCUUAUGUUAGAACCAAUUGCAAAACCUUGUUUUUGUAACUGUGGCGCAUACCCACUUCAGGCAUAAUUCCUCAUCGUCCUCAGCCACUGUAUGAACAAUUAGCACAAAAUUUCUUGUAAUUGUUAAACUGCGUAACAAAAAUAGCAUAGGCAAUGCCAGCCUACUACCCUGAAAUUUUUAUUAUUAAUGCCGUAGUGGGCAUCAGGCAAGUGUGUUUGCAGCAGUUAUCCAAUGAAUGUUUAAAAAGGCUCUGAAUGUCCGUUCUUCUAGCUUUCACUGUGAUUGUGCGCCGCCUUCCGCGCAGGCCUGGCAUUUGCAGCCACCAGUUCAACAUGGCUGGGCGAUCAGCAAGUGCUUAAACUUCGGCCGAGUGGCUGAAUCGUGUGGCAGACAAAUUUCUGCAUUCAAGUAUCCCAAGAAAGACUGACAUCUUCAAAACCACUGGAACCUCGAGCUUCCCAGAAAUAAAUGCAGUUAAAAUUACUGGUAUCUGGACUCGUAAAUAUAUUCCGAAACUAAUUUGCAUUGCUCCCAAACACUCCCUUUGAUAAGCCUAGGCUGUUCUGAAACACGCUUUUUGAUGCUUCACACCUGCUCCAAAAACAGCAUUAUUCCUGCUCCCUGAGGGGCUCCAGCUUCCACCCCUGCCUCCAGUUUUAUAUAUUUGUUUUGAAAAUGGCAUUCCAGUUUUUCUUGUGCUUUUUUCCUGCUUUUUUCAUUUUUUCAGAGGAUGUGUACAUUAGGUACAUCCAAGAAAUGUGUGUGCAUUGUUCUGUUUCCUGCUAAAUAUUUUUAGAGGAAAUGUUCUGCUGUUUUAGUUGGUGAAUUUUCUUUCACUUUUAUCAAGCAUGUCGUUGCCUGUCUUGUUUAUAUUAAUGAUAUUGUGAUCAUUGUGUACAGUGCCAUUACUUUUUAUCACGUUUUUUUUUUUGGCGAUAUCAGUACAUCAUUAUGCAUUGUAUAUGGAGCCCACGAAGUAUCUGGGCUAAUAAACAUUUUUUUAUGUAGA
RNAcentral lists this unclassified non-coding RNA (4176 nucleotides) under Rhipicephalus microplus (southern cattle tick). RNAcentral's name for it is "zinc finger E-box-binding homeobox protein zag-1- like, transcript variant X1". Lineage: Eukaryota; Metazoa; Arthropoda; Arachnida; Ixodida; Ixodidae. The record is from RNAcentral.